GGGUCCGAGUUGUAAUUUGUAGAGGAUGCUUUUGGCGCGGUGCCUUCCGAGUUCCCUGGAACGGGACGCCUUAGAGGGUGAGAGCCCCGUACGGUUGGACACCAAGCCUCUGUAAAGCUCCUUCGACGAGUCGAGUAGUUUGGGAAUGCUGCUCUAAAUGGGAGGUAAAUUUCUUCUAAAGCUAAAUAUUGGCCAGAGACCGAUAGCGCACAAGUAGAGUGAUCGAAAGAUGAAAAGCACUUUGAAAAGAGGGUUAAAUAGCACGUGAAAUUGUUGAAAGGGAAGCGUUUGCGACCAGACCUUUUCCUGGCGGAUCAUCCGGUGUUCUCACCGGUGCACUUCGCCAGGUCGAGGCCAGCAUCGGUUUCCGCGGGGGGAUAAAAGCUCUGGGAACGUAGCUCCUCCGGGAGUGUUAUAGCCCUCUGCACAAUACCCCCGCGGGGACCGAGGACCGCGCUCUAAGCAAGGAUGCUGGCGUAAUGGUUGUCAACGACCCGUCUUGAAACACGGACCAAGGAGUCGAACAUUUGUGCGAGUGUUUGGGUGUCAAACCCUCACGCGUAAUGAAGGUGAACGUAGGUGAGAGCCCUUACGGGUGCAUCAUCGACCGAUCCUGAUGUCUUCGGAUGGAUUUGAGUAAGAGCAUAACUGUUCGGACCCGAAAGAUGGUGAACUAUGCGUGGAUAGGGUGAAGCCAGAGGAAACUCUGGUGGAGGCUCGCAGCGGUUCUGACGUGCAAAUCGAUCGUCAAAUCUGCGCAUGGGGGCGAAAGACUUAUCGAACCAUCUAGUAGCUGGUUACCGCCGAAGUUUCCCUCAGGAUAGCAGUGUUGUUCUUCAGUUUUAUGAGGUAAAGCGAAUGAUUAGGGACUCGGGGGCGCUUUUUUGCCUUCAUCCAUUCUCAAACUUUAAAUAUGUAAGAAGCCCUUGUUACUUAAUUGAACGUGGGCAUUCGAAUGUACCAACACUAGUGGGCCAUUUUUGGUAAGCAGAACUGGCGAUGCGGGAUGAACCGAACGCGGGGUUAAGGUGCCGGAGUGGACGCUCAUCAGACACCACAAAAGGUGUUAGCACAUUUAGACAAUAGGACGGUGGCCAUGGAAGUCGGAAUCCGCUAAGGACUGUGUAACAACUCACCUAUCGAAUGUGCUAGCCC
RNAcentral lists this ribosomal RNA (1155 nucleotides) under Dematophora necatrix. RNAcentral describes it as "partial large subunit ribosomal RNA". It matches the Rfam family "Eukaryotic large subunit ribosomal RNA", at positions 134 to 1312 of the family's 3401-position model. Lineage: Eukaryota; Fungi; Ascomycota; Sordariomycetes; Xylariales; Xylariaceae. The record is from RNAcentral.